GCUCCUUUGACGUUAGCGGCGGACGGGUGAGUAACACGUGGGUAACCUACCUAUAAGACUGGGAUAACUUCGGGAAACCGGAGCUAAUACCGGAUAAUAUUUCGAACCGCAUGGUUCGAUAGUGAAAGAUGGUUUUGCUAUCACUUAUAGAUGGACCCGCGCCGUAUUAGCUAGUUGGUAAGGUAACGGCUUACCAAGGCG
This 201-nucleotide ribosomal RNA is filed under the name Staphylococcus haemolyticus. Its description in RNAcentral is "partial 16S ribosomal RNA". It matches the Rfam family "Bacterial small subunit ribosomal RNA", at positions 80 to 275 of the family's 1533-position model. Lineage: Bacteria; Bacillati; Bacillota; Bacilli; Caryophanales; Staphylococcaceae. The record is from RNAcentral.